CAAUGAGUGUUUUAUGGCACUCUUUAAAAAUCCAUAUCCACCUUGUGUGCAAUGUUUGUUGGGAGAGAGGCAACUCUUUCCCUUCACAAAUAUCAACCUAUAUCUUUAACAACAUUCGUCUGAAUCAUAAACAAGAAUUA
RNAcentral lists this unclassified non-coding RNA (140 nucleotides) under uncultured Mortierella. Its description in RNAcentral is "sequence contains ITS1". The record is from RNAcentral. Lineage: Eukaryota; Fungi; Mortierellomycota; Mortierellomycetes; Mortierellales; Mortierellaceae.